ACGUUCUUGUCGGGGUGCCUUGCUAUGAGGCUGAGAUCGAAUAAUUUCGGAUCCCGUUGAACCUGAUCAGGUUAACGCCUGCGUAGGGAACAAGAUUUCUCGUCAC
Molecule: non-coding RNA, 106 nt
Organism: Pseudomonas sp. VI4.1
Lineage: Bacteria; Pseudomonadati; Pseudomonadota; Gammaproteobacteria; Pseudomonadales; Pseudomonadaceae
Source: Rfam